Molecule: ribosomal RNA, 403 nt
Filed under: bacterium
Lineage: Bacteria
Also listed under: 1 other name
Description: partial 16S ribosomal RNA
Rfam family: Bacterial small subunit ribosomal RNA
Source: RNAcentral
UGGGGAAUAUUGCACAAUGGGGGGAACUCUGAUGCAGCGACGCCGCGUGAACGAAGAAGGCUUUCGAGUCGUAAAGUUCUUUUAUAUGGGAAGAUAAUGACGGUACCAUAAGAAAAAGCCCCGGCUAACUACGUGCCAGCAGCCGCGGUAAUACGUAGGGGGCUAGCGUUGUCCGGAAUCACUGGGCGUAAAGGGUUCGCAGGCGGAAAUGCAAGUCAGGUGUAAAAGGCAGUAGCUUAACUACUGUAAGCAUUUGAAACUGCAUAUCUUGAGAAGAGUAGAGGUAAGUGGAAUUUUUAGUGUAGCGGUGAAAUGCGUAGAUAUUAAAAAGAAUACCGGUGGCGAAGGCGACUUACUGGGCUCAUUCUGACGCUGAGGAACGAAAGCGUGGGUAGCAAACAGG